UGACUCCUUGAGAGUCCUGAAGGAACGUUGAAGACGACGACGUUGAUAGGCCGGGUGUGUAAGCGCAGCGAUGCGUUGAGCUAACCGGUACUAAUGAACCGUGAGGCUUAACCUUACAACGCCGAAGMUGUU
Molecule: ribosomal RNA, 132 nt
Filed under: Escherichia coli
Lineage: Bacteria; Pseudomonadati; Pseudomonadota; Gammaproteobacteria; Enterobacterales; Enterobacteriaceae
Description: partial 23S ribosomal RNA
Rfam family: Bacterial large subunit ribosomal RNA (bases 1-115)
Source: RNAcentral